RNAcentral lists this long non-coding RNA (641 nucleotides) under Mytilus galloprovincialis (Mediterranean mussel). The record is from RNAcentral. Lineage: Eukaryota; Metazoa; Mollusca; Bivalvia; Mytilida; Mytilidae.
UAAACAUAUUACUUUUAAUACAACAACAAAAAAAGAAACAAUAACAUAAUAAACAUUUCGCUGUAAGAAGAAGUGUAAACAACUUUAGUCCAUGUAUGCAUGUGUUUUUGUAUAAAUUCCCUAUUUGCAUUUCUUUCAAUACUACAUUAAAAUCUAAUAUUUAAGUGUUUUAAAUACUAGAUAUGUUAUACAAAUACGCUUUCUGAAAUUCAUUUGCAACCAAUAACUGAUUAGUUUCCUUUCUAAAGUUAAUUGAAUAUGGGGAAUCUAAACCAUCUCUUUUAGUUAAGAGUUCUCUAUGGGUUUGUCCAUCAGGGGAGAUUACUACGACAUUCUUUGAUCCAUAUCCUAUAACAUACACGUUACCAUCAUUAUCAGCUGAUAUUCCAAAUGGAUUCUUUAAAUUGUUUUCAUUUUUGAAAGUCCAUUUCGUUGUACCUUGCAGAUCGCAGCAUACUACUGUAUGAUACUUAUAGCUGGAAUAAUAAAGUUUGUGUCCAGAUAUAGUUAUGUUGAUUAUUGUGUCCAGGUUCUCAGUAAUGAUAUCACAUGUUGAUUUGUCAGCAAGAUCCAUGGCUCGAAUUGCUUUAUUUUUAAUGUGAUACAGCAGUGUGUUAUUUGGCACCGCUAUACCAGUGGUU